Molecule: ribosomal RNA, 800 nt
Filed under: uncultured bacterium
Lineage: Bacteria
Description: bacterial SSU rRNA
Rfam family: Bacterial small subunit ribosomal RNA
Source: RNAcentral
AGAGUUUGAUCAUGGCUCAGGACGAACGCUGGCGGCGUGCCUAAUACAUGCAAGUCGAGCGGACUUGUUCUUUCGGGAAUAGGUUAGCGGCGGACGGGUGAGUAACACGUAGGUAACCUGCCUGUAAGACUGGGAUAACUACCGGAAACGGUAGCUAAGACCGGAUAACUGGCACUCUCGCAUGAGGGAGUCAUGAAACACGGUGCAAGCUGUGACUUACAGAUGGGCCUGCGGCGCAUUAGCUAGUUGGUGAGGUAAAGGCUCACCAAGGCGACGAUGCGUAGCCGACCUGAGAGGGUGAACGGCCACACUGGGACUGAGACACGGCCCAGACUCCUACGGGAGGCAGCAGUAGGGAAUCUUCCGCAAUGGGCGCAAGCCUGACGGAGCAACGCCGCGUGAGUGAUGAAGGUUUUCGGAUCGUAAAGCUCUGUUGCCAAGGAAGAAAUGCUAAGGGAGUAACUGCCCUGAGCUUGACGGUACUUGAGAAGAAAGCCCCGGCUAACUACGUGCCAGCAGCCGCGGUAAUACGUAGGGGGCAAGCGUUGUCCGGAAUUAUUGGGCGUAAAGCGCGCGCAGGCGGUUUUUUAAGUCUGGUGUAUAAUCCACGGGCUCAACCCGUGUUGGCACCGGAAACUGGGAGACUGGAGUGUAGGAGAGGAAAGUGGAAUUCCACGUGUAGCGGUGAAAUGCGUAGAGAUGUGGAGGAACACCAGUGGCGAAGGCGACUUUCUGGCCUAUAACUGACGCUGAGGCGCGAAAGCGUGGGGAGCAAACAGGAUUAGAUACCCUAGUAGUCC